Molecule: ribosomal RNA, 468 nt
Filed under: uncultured bacterium
Lineage: Bacteria
Description: partial 16S ribosomal RNA
Rfam family: Bacterial small subunit ribosomal RNA
Source: RNAcentral
GACGAACGCUGGCGGCGUGCUUAACACAUGCAAGUCGAACGGAAAGGCCCUGCGUUUGUGGGGUGCUCGAGUGGCGAACGGGUGAGUAACACGUGAGUAACCUGCCCUUGACUUUGGGAUAACUUCAGGAAACUGGGGCUAAUACCGGAUAGGAGCUCCUGCUGCAUGGUGGGGGUUGGAAAGUUUCGGCGGUUGGGGAUGGACUCGCGGCUUAUCAGCUUGUUGGUGGGGUAGUGGCUUACCAAGGCUUUGACGGGUAGCCGGCCUGAGAGGGUGACCGGCCACAGUGGGACUGAGAUACGGCCCAGACUCCUACGGGAGGCAGCAGUGGGGAAUAUUGCACAAUGGGCGGAAGCCGGAUGCAGCAACGCCGCGUGCGGGAUGACGGCCUUCGGGUUGUAAACCGCUUUCGCCUGUGACGAAGCGUGAGUGACGGUAAUGGGUAAAGAAGCACCGGCUAACUACGUG